This 437-nucleotide ribosomal RNA is filed under the name uncultured Oscillospiraceae bacterium. Its description in RNAcentral is "partial 16S ribosomal RNA". It matches the Rfam family "Bacterial small subunit ribosomal RNA", at positions 341 to 792 of the family's 1533-position model. Lineage: Bacteria; Bacillati; Bacillota; Clostridia; Eubacteriales; Oscillospiraceae. The record is from RNAcentral.
ACGGAAGGCAGCAGUGGGGAAUAUUGGGCAAUGGACGAAAGUCUGACCCAGCGACGCCGCGUGAAGGAAGAAGAUCCUCGGAUUGUAAACUUCAGUCAACAGGGAAGAAGAAAAUGACGGUACCUGUGGAGGAGGCCACGGCUAACUACGUGCCAGCAGCCGCGGUAAUACGUAGGUGGCGAGCGUUAUCCGGAUUUACUGGGUGUAAAGGGUGUGUAGGCGGGAAUGCAAGUCAGAUGUGAAAAUUAUGGGCUCAACUCAUAACCUGCAUUUGAAACUGUAUUUCUUGAGAGUCGGAGAGGUAAACGGAAUUCCCGGUGUAGCGGUGAAAUGCGCAGAUAUCGGGAGGAACACCAGUGGCGAAGGCGGUUUACUGGACGACAACUGACGCUGAGACACGAAAGCGUGGGGAGCAAACAGGAUUAGAUACCCUGGUA